UACAGAGGUCCCAAGCGUUGUUCGGAUUCACUGGGCGUAAAGGGUGCGUAGGUGGUCGGGUAAGUCUGAUGUGAAAUCUCCGAGCUCAACUCGGAAAUGGCAUUGGAUACUAUUCGGCUAGAGGGUUGGAGGGGAGACUGGAAUUCUCGGUGUAGCAGUGAAAUGCGUAGAUAUCGAGAGGAACACCAGUGGCGAAGGCGAGUCUCUGGACAACUCCUGACACUGAGGCACGAAAGCUAGGGGAGCAAACAG
This 252-nucleotide ribosomal RNA is filed under the name uncultured prokaryote. RNAcentral describes it as "partial 16S ribosomal RNA". It matches the Rfam family "Bacterial small subunit ribosomal RNA", at positions 524 to 775 of the family's 1533-position model. The record is from RNAcentral.